CAAGUCGAACGAUGAAGUUCCUUCGGGAAUGGAUUAGUGGCGAACGGGUGAGGAACACGUGAGAAACCUGCCUUUCAUUCUGGGAUAACACCGGGAAACCGGUGCUAAUACCGGAUACUCCAUCUUGGCGGCAUCGCCGAGCUGGGAAAAAAUUUUGAUGAAAGAUGGUCUCGCGGCCUAUCAGCUAGUUGGUGAGGUAAAGGCUCACCAAGGCGACGACGGGUAGCCGGCCUGAGAGGGCGACCGGCCACACUGGGACUGAGACACGGCCCAGACUCCUACGGGAGGCAGCAGUAGGGAAUAUUGGGCAAUGGGCGAAAGCCUGACCCAGCGACGCCGCGUGAGGGAUGAAGGUCUUCGGAUUGUAAACCUCUUUCAGUAGGGAAGAAGCGAAAGUGACGGUACCUAAAGAAGAAGCACCGGCUAACUAUGUGCCAGCAGCCGCGGUAAUACAUAGGGUGCAAGCGUUGUCCGGAAUUAUUGGGCGUAAAGAGCUCGUAGGUCGUUUGUCGCGUCGAUUGUGAAAAUCUGAGGCUCAACCUCAGACCUGCAGUCGAUACGGGCAAACUAGAGUGUGGUAGGGGAGACUGGAAUUCCUGGUGUAGCGGUGGAAUGCGCAGAUAUCAGGAGG
This 631-nucleotide ribosomal RNA is filed under the name uncultured Actinomycetales bacterium. Its description in RNAcentral is "bacterial SSU rRNA". It matches the Rfam family "Bacterial small subunit ribosomal RNA", at positions 58 to 704 of the family's 1533-position model. Lineage: Bacteria; Bacillati; Actinomycetota; Actinomycetes; Actinomycetales. The record is from RNAcentral.